This 447-nucleotide ribosomal RNA is filed under the name uncultured bacterium. Its description in RNAcentral is "partial 16S ribosomal RNA". It matches the Rfam family "Bacterial small subunit ribosomal RNA", at positions 29 to 523 of the family's 1533-position model. The record is from RNAcentral.
AGCGAACGCUGGCGGCAGGCUUAACACAUGCAAGUCGAACGCCCCGCAAGGGGAGUGGCAGACGGGUGAGUAACACGUGGGAACGUACCCUUUGGUUCGGAAUAACUUGGGGAAACUCAAGCUAAUACCGGAUAAGCCCUUAUGGGGAAAGGUUUACUGCCGAAGGAUCGGCCCGCGUCUGAUUAGCUAGUUGGUGAGGUAAUGGCUCACCAAGGCGACGAUCAGUAGCUGGUCGGGGAGGAUGAUCAGCCACACUGGGACUGAGACACGGCCCAGACUCCUACGGGAGGCAGCAGUGGGGAAUAUGGAACAAGGGGGGCAACCCUGAUCCAGCCAUGCCGCGUGAGUGAUGAAGGCCUUAGGUUUGAAAAGCUCUUUUACCCGGGACGAUAAUGCCUGUACCGGGAGAAUAAGCCCCGGCUAACUUCGUGCCAGCAGCCGCCGUAA